Molecule: unclassified non-coding RNA, 224 nt
Filed under: uncultured fungus
Lineage: Eukaryota; Fungi
Description: sequence contains ITS1
Source: RNAcentral
GUAUUUAAGUUUAUGGCCUUGCGGCUCAAUCACGUUCAUAGAUCAAAAAUUGUGUUUGUGAAAGAGAGGGAGUGCAUCCGUUUGACCGGACACAUUACCCCUCCAAGGGUGCACAGGUGUAUGGAUAAAGAAAAAUGCAGAGGCGAGCACAUGCGGAUAAACCACCAGCAUCAACGCACUGACAGAAUUCGUUAAUGAUCCUUCCGCAGGUUCACCUACGGAAA